GCGGACAUCGUAUAAUGGUAAUACGUCAGCUUUCCAAGUUGAAGACGCCAGGUUCGAAUCCUAGCUGACCGCUCCA
RNAcentral lists this transfer RNA (76 nucleotides) under Moritella viscosa. Its description in RNAcentral is "tRNA-Gly (TCC) (tRNA-Gly-TCC-2-1)". It matches the Rfam family "tRNA". Rfam says of the family: Transfer RNA (tRNA) molecules are approximately 80 nucleotides in length. Their secondary structure includes four short double-helical elements and three loops (D, anti-codon, and T loops). The record is from RNAcentral. Lineage: Bacteria; Pseudomonadati; Pseudomonadota; Gammaproteobacteria; Alteromonadales; Moritellaceae.